This 377-nucleotide unclassified non-coding RNA is filed under the name plant metagenome. RNAcentral describes it as "partial contains 5.8S ribosomal RNA, internal transcribed spacer 2, and large subunit ribosomal RNA". The stretch from base 1 to 104 matches the Rfam family "5.8S ribosomal RNA", at positions 51 to 154 of the family's 154-position model. The record is from RNAcentral.
AAAUGCGAUAAGUAAUGUGAAUUGCAGAAUUCAGUGAAUCAUCGAAUCUUUGAACGCACCUUGCGCUCCUUGGUAUUCCUUGGAGCAUGCCUGUUUGAGUAUCAUGAAAUCUUCAAAGUAAAUCUUUUGUUAACUCAAUUGGUUUCUACUUUGGUAUUGGAGGUCUUUGCAGCUUCACACCUGCUCCUCUUUGUUCAUUAGCUGGAUCUCAGUGUUAUGCUUGGUUCCACUCGGCGUGAUAAGUCAUCUAUCGCUGAGGACACUGUAAAAGGUGGCCAAGGUAAAUGCAGAUGAACCGCUUCUAAUAGUCCAUUGACUUGGACAAUACUUUUAUGAUCUGAUCUCAAAUCAGGUAGGACUACCCGCUGAACUUAAGC